RNAcentral lists this unclassified non-coding RNA (233 nucleotides) under Cotesia glomerata. RNAcentral's name for it is "uncharacterized LOC123264623, transcript variant X4". The record is from RNAcentral. Lineage: Eukaryota; Metazoa; Arthropoda; Insecta; Hymenoptera; Braconidae.
CACAAAUAAUAAUGUACUUAGAAUUCUUGAAAUUUUUAGUUUCUUUUUUUUUUCAGGUGAUCCUAAGUAUAAACCAUAUGUUACUAGUGAACCGGAAAUGUAUUCUGGAGAUCUAGAUGGAACUGAAGAUUUUCUCAUUAUUGCUUGUGAUGGUCUUUGGGAUUACGUUAAUGAAGUAACAGCUGCCAAGCUUGUGUAUGAACAAAUUUCUCGAGAUUGUCCUAACAUCGAGG